This 226-nucleotide ribosomal RNA is filed under the name uncultured bacterium. RNAcentral describes it as "partial 16S ribosomal RNA". It matches the Rfam family "Bacterial small subunit ribosomal RNA", at positions 15 to 236 of the family's 1533-position model. The record is from RNAcentral.
GAUCAUGGCUCAGGAUGAACGCUAGCUACAGGCUUAACACAUGCAAGUCGAGGGGCAGCAUGACCUAGCAAUAGGUUGAUGGCGACCGGCGCACGGGUGAGUAACGCGUAUCCAACCUGCCCAUCACUUGGGAAUAACCUUGCGAAAGUAAGACUAAUGCCCAAUGAUAUCCCACGAAGGCAUCCGAAUGGGAUUAAAGAUUUAUCGGUGAUGGAUGGGGAUGCGU